AUGACGACGUAUCCUGUGCUGAAUGACCAGCCAAUUGAUCAGUGGAACUUUGCAGAACUGAAGGAUGAGCUCUCUAGGAGGAACUUACCUACCGAUGGCUUGAAGGAUGAUCUUGUGAAAAGGCUCUUUGAGGAACUUCAGGGUGAUAUACUUGGUGGAGAAGGGCCAGUUGGUGGAUCUCCUCCCGAUGAUGAUCUCAAAGAGGACGAAACCCCUGGUUCGGCUGAUGCAUCUGUUUGCCAGGCUGCGGUGGAACAAAAUGUUGAUGAAGGUCCUUCUCAGGUUGCAACCCUGGAAGGAUAUCCUGUUGGUUCUGUUACAGAGGCUAGUGAGAAAGGUGCCGAUGCUACUACAGAGGUUAUUCAGGAUGCUCUAGUUAGUACCGAAGAAGUUAGUCAGACAACUCUUGUUGCGGAGGUUAGUGAGAAAAGUGCCGAUGCUACUACAGAAGUUAGUCAGAAUGCUGUAGUUAGUACCGAAGAAGAUAGUCAGACAACUCUUGUUGCAGAGGCUAGUGAGAAAAGUGCCGAUGCUACUACAGAAGUUAGUCAGGAUGCUGUAGUUAGUAACGAAGAAGUUAGUCAGACAACUCUUGUUGCUGCUACUGAAGUUAGUGAUGCUCCUCUUGUUGAUAUGGCAAAAGCUGAUGAAAUUUCUCCAAGUGACGCAGUGGCAACCAACGGAGAUCACCUAGAAUCAGCUCCAAGUGGCAGUAAUAUAGUGAAGGAAGCAUCUCCACAAGCUGAUCGUCAUAGUGAGAUUAUUGCAGAGAAGGCUCCAGAAGAAGGCACCAUCAAGAAAGUGAUUGCUAAUUAUCUACCAUGUGAUGUUGCCAGUACUGAUGUCAAGUUAGAUGCAACUUCUGCUAAAGACAAGUUAGAUGCUGAUAUUGUAGAGCAAGAUGCAGUAUCAUCACCUCCAGAUGCUAGUGCGUCACAUGUUGAUCCAUUGGAUGUUGAUGCUGUUGCAGCUGCACCAGGACAAAAUGCUGAGACCCUGAUUCCUGUGAUAGAUUUGAGUGAUAAUGCUUUGAUGAAUGGCAAGGACCUCGAAGAUUCUGGGCGCACAAACAGUACCUGCAAACCAACCGUGGCAGGGACAAAUGACCAGGUAACUGAGGUCAAUCCUGUUCUAGGUUCUCAAAUCAAGUGUGUUCCGAUUCCGCAUGACAAUAUAUCAACUAAUGUAAAAGGUGACCUGAAUGCUGACAAUUCUGAUUUGGAAAUAGAGGUUAAGAGGGAUAUGGUCAAACCACCAUGCAACAUUCCCUCCGUAGGUGAUGAUUUGCAGGCAUUGGACGAUGACAAAGAGUUGUCUAAGAACGGGACCCCAUUGCAAGAAAUAGAAUCUAAAUCCAAUAUGAUCUUGGACAAGAAAGAGGACAGUCCUGAUGGCGCUUUUCCUGAAAAACUAAAUUUAGACAGGAGCUCGAUAGAGGAGGAUGUGAUGGAAAGUAAGCAUGUUGAUACCAUUAUCAGAUCUGAUGAUCUUGGAGGAAAGACUGCGGUUACCUCAGACCAUGAAGAGGUAAAAGAGGUGAUCCUCUUUAAUACUGUUGCCAAUGAUUCAUCUGUGGAGACAAUGGAUAUUGUUCAUGAAGAGAAGCUAGUAACUUCAUCUGAAAAGAGGAAACUUGAAGACCAAGAAGUUGUCGCGGAUGAGCCCAUCAAACGUCAGCGCCAUGUGGAUACUCUCAAAAUUCCUAAGCAACAAACAUCCAAACUAAGUAGCUCUGAUUCUCCAAAGGUUGUGGUUCGGCCUGCUCUAAAACAUUUUGUUGGCAGGUCUAAUUCAACAGCAAGUGGAGGUUCUCACAAAGAGCGGAUAGUGCCACUUCCUCAGAAGCCUGCAACAACUUCCUUGAGAGUUGACCGAUUUGUGCGCCCAUUUACUUUGAAAGCUGUGCAAGAGCUUCUUGGUAGAACUGGAUCUGUUUGCAGCUUCUGGAUGGAUGAUAUCAAGACCCACUGCUAUGUUACAUACUCUUCAGUGGAUGAAGCUAUCGCUACCAGGAAUGCUGUUUACAACCUCCAAUGGCCCCUAAACAAUGGCAGUUACUUAGCUGCCGAAUUUGUUGAUCCACUUGAGGUGAAGCUUAAAAUCGAACACCCUCCCCCACUGCCACUGCCUACCAGCCUCGGCAAGGAUACAACGCCAAAUGCAGCAGCCAUCCAACAAGCGGAGGCUAACCAAACCAUGCUUCACCGUGGCGCUGGUGCCGCAUGGGGUCUGUCACCUACUCCACAGCCUCAUACAAAGUUGUAUACCACAUCUAACCCCAGGUCGGAAAGGGAGGUGCUUCCACCUUCUCCAAAGCAACCGGAAACAACUAUCAAGACACUUGAUGAUCUCUUCAGGAGGACACAGGCCUCUCCGAUGAUCUACUACUUGCCCUUAUCGGAGGAGGAGGUGGCAGCCAAGCUCGCAGCACGCCGCAGGCGAAAUUGGAGACGGUAG
This 2457-nucleotide ribosomal RNA is filed under the name Triticum aestivum (bread wheat). RNAcentral's name for it is "partial small subunit ribosomal RNA". Lineage: Eukaryota; Viridiplantae; Streptophyta; Magnoliopsida; Poales; Poaceae. The record is from RNAcentral.